RNAcentral lists this ribosomal RNA (253 nucleotides) under uncultured bacterium. Its description in RNAcentral is "partial 16S ribosomal RNA". It matches the Rfam family "Bacterial small subunit ribosomal RNA", at positions 524 to 776 of the family's 1533-position model. The record is from RNAcentral.
UACAGAGGUCUCGAGCGUUGUUCGGAUUUACUGGGCGUAAAGGGUGCGUAGGCGGUGGCGUAAGUCGGUUGUGAAAUUUCGGGGCUCAACCUCGAAACUGCACCCGAUACUGCGUCGCUUGAGGACUGUAGAGGAGUGUGGAAUUCACGGUGUAGCAGUGAAAUGCGUAGAUAUCGUGAGGAAGACCAGUGGCGAAGGCGACACUCUGGGCAGUUCCUGACGCUGAGGCACGAAGGCCAGGGGAGCAAACGGG